Molecule: ribosomal RNA, 404 nt
Filed under: uncultured bacterium
Lineage: Bacteria
Description: bacterial SSU rRNA
Rfam family: Bacterial small subunit ribosomal RNA
Source: RNAcentral
UAGGGAAUAUUGGUUAAUGUGCGAAAGCGCGAACCAGCAACGCCGCGUGUGCGAUGAAGGCCUUCGGGUCGUAAAGCACUUUUUGCAGGGACGAGGAGGGACGGUACCUGCAGAAUAAGUCUCGGCUAACUACGUGCCAGCAGCCGCGGUAAAACGUAGGAGACGAGCGUUAUCCGGAUUUACUGGGCGUAAAGCGCGUGCAGGCGGCAUGGCAAGUUGGAUGUGAAAGCUCCCGGCUUAACUGGGAGAGGUCGUUCAAUACUGCCAGGCUUGAGAGUGGUGGAGGGAAGCGGAAUUCCGGGUGUAGUGGUGAAAUGCGUAGAUAUCCGGAGGAACACCAGUGGCGAAAGCGGCUUCCUGGCCCAUUUCUGACGCUCAGACGCGAAAGCUAGGGUAGCAAACGG